This 289-nucleotide unclassified non-coding RNA is filed under the name Hevea brasiliensis (rubber tree). Lineage: Eukaryota; Viridiplantae; Streptophyta; Magnoliopsida; Malpighiales; Euphorbiaceae. The record is from RNAcentral.
CCGGAAGUGCUUGCCGAAACUUAUGGCCAGAUCGACGGCUUUCCGAAGCUGCGCAUUCUGGACUCGACGGACCCUGCACAGGUUCGCCGAACCGAAGCCGCGAUCAAUCUCGACAAGACGCUGUUCAUCGUGUCGAGCAAAUCCGGCGGCACCACAGAGCCCAACGCGCUCAUGGAGUAUUUCUUCGUUCGCGCCGGUGCAAAGGCCGCAGAGCGUUUUGUNNUCCCGGUUCAUCGCUUGAAAAGGUGGCGACCGCGCGCGGCUUUGCGCAGAUCUUCCACGGCGAGCC